This 478-nucleotide ribosomal RNA is filed under the name uncultured bacterium. RNAcentral describes it as "partial 16S ribosomal RNA". It matches the Rfam family "Bacterial small subunit ribosomal RNA", at positions 28 to 523 of the family's 1533-position model. The record is from RNAcentral.
GACGAACGCUGGCGGCGUGCUUAACACAUGCAAGUCGAACGGUAAGGCCCUUCGGGGUACACGAGUGGCGAACGGGUGAGUAACACGUGGGUGAUCUGCCCUGCACUUCGGGAUAAGCCUGGGAAACCGGGUCUAAUACCGGAUAGGACCACUGCCUGCAUGGGUGGUGGUGGAAAGCUUUUGCGGUGUGGGAUGGGCCCGCGGCCUAUCAGCUUGUUGGUGGGGUGAUGGCCUACCAAGGCGACGACGGGUAGCCGGCCUGAGAGGGUGACCGGCCACCCGGGGACUGAGAUACGGCCCAGACUCCUACGGGAGGCAGCAGUGGGGAAUAUUGCACAAUGGGCGCAAGCCUGAUGCAGCGACGCCGCGUGAGGGAUGACGGCCUUCGGGUUGUAAACCUCUUUCAGCUAUGACGAAGCGCAAGUGACGGUAGUAGCAGAAGAAGGACCGGCCAACUACGUGCCAGCAGCCGCCGUAA